UACGAAGGGGGCUAGCGUUGCUCGGAAUCACUGGGCGUAAAGCGCACGUAGGCGGCUCUUAAGUCAGGGGUGAAAUCCUGGAGCUCAACUCCAGAACUGCCUUUGAUACUGGGAGUCUUGAGUUCGGGAGAGGUGAGUGGAACUGCGAGUGUAGAGGUGAAAUUCGUAGAUAUUCGCAAGAACACCAGUGGCGAAGGCGGCUCACUGGCCCGAUACUGACGCUGAGGUGCGAAAGCGUGGGGAGCAAACAGG
This 252-nucleotide ribosomal RNA is filed under the name uncultured bacterium. RNAcentral's name for it is "partial 16S ribosomal RNA". It matches the Rfam family "Bacterial small subunit ribosomal RNA", at positions 524 to 776 of the family's 1533-position model. The record is from RNAcentral.